AACGAACGCUGGCGGCAUGCCUAACACAUGCAAGUCGAACGAGACCUUCGGGUCUAGUGGCGCACGGGUGCGUAACGCGUGGGAACCUGCCCUUAGGUUCGGAAUAACUCCCCGAGAGGGGUGCUAAUACCGGAUAAUGUCUUCGGCCCAAAGAUUUAUCGCCUUUGGUUGGGCCCGCGUUGGAUUAGCUAGUUGGUAGGGUAAAAGCCUACCAAGGCGACGAUCCAUAGCUGGUCUGAGAGGAUGAUCAGCCACACUGGGACUGAGACACGACCCAGACUCCUACGGGAGGCAGCAGUGGGGAAUAUUGGACAAUGGGCGAAAGCCUGAUCCAGCAAUGCCGCGUGAGUGAUGAAGGCCUUAGGGUUGUAAAGCUCUUUUACCCGGGAUGAUAAUGACAGUACCGGGAGAAUAAGCUCCGGCUAACUCCGUA
RNAcentral lists this ribosomal RNA (433 nucleotides) under uncultured bacterium. Its description in RNAcentral is "partial 16S ribosomal RNA". It matches the Rfam family "Bacterial small subunit ribosomal RNA", at positions 29 to 507 of the family's 1533-position model. The record is from RNAcentral.